GCCCUGGUGGCACAACGGUUAAGCACUCAGCUGCUAACUGAAAGGCUGGCGAUUCGAACCCGUCCAGUGGCU
This 72-nucleotide transfer RNA is filed under the name Loxodonta africana (African savanna elephant). It matches the Rfam family "tRNA". From Rfam's summary of the family: Transfer RNA (tRNA) molecules are approximately 80 nucleotides in length. Their secondary structure includes four short double-helical elements and three loops (D, anti-codon, and T loops). The record is from Rfam by way of RNAcentral. Lineage: Eukaryota; Metazoa; Chordata; Mammalia; Proboscidea; Elephantidae.